Molecule: ribosomal RNA, 1552 nt
Filed under: Enterobacter cloacae
Lineage: Bacteria; Pseudomonadati; Pseudomonadota; Gammaproteobacteria; Enterobacterales; Enterobacteriaceae
Description: bacterial SSU rRNA
Rfam family: Bacterial small subunit ribosomal RNA
Source: RNAcentral
UUAAAUUGAAGAGUUUGAUCAUGGCUCAGAUUGAACGCUGGCGGCAGGCCUAACACAUGCAAGUCGAACGGUAGCACAGAGAGCUUGCUCUCGGGUGACGAGUGGCGGACGGGUGAGUAAUGUCUGGGAAACUGCCUGAUGGAGGGGGAUAACUACUGGAAACGGUAGCUAAUACCGCAUAACGUCGCAAGACCAAAGAGGGGGACCUUCGGGCCUCUUGCCAUCAGAUGUGCCCAGAUGGGAUUAGCUAGUAGGUGGGGUAACGGCUCACCUAGGCGACGAUCCCUAGCUGGUCUGAGAGGAUGACCAGCCACACUGGAACUGAGACACGGUCCAGACUCCUACGGGAGGCAGCAGUGGGGAAUAUUGCACAAUGGGCGCAAGCCUGAUGCAGCCAUGCCGCGUGUAUGAAGAAGGCCUUCGGGUUGUAAAGUACUUUCAGCGGGGAGGAAGGUGUUGUGGUUAAUAACCGCAGCAAUUGACGUUACCCGCAGAAGAAGCACCGGCUAACUCCGUGCCAGCAGCCGCGGUAAUACGGAGGGUGCAAGCGUUAAUCGGAAUUACUGGGCGUAAAGCGCACGCAGGCGGUCUGUCAAGUCGGAUGUGAAAUCCCCGGGCUCAACCUGGGAACUGCAUUCGAAACUGGCAGGCUAGAGUCUUGUAGAGGGGGGUAGAAUUCCAGGUGUAGCGGUGAAAUGCGUAGAGAUCUGGAGGAAUACCGGUGGCGAAGGCGGCCCCCUGGACAAAGACUGACGCUCAGGUGCGAAAGCGUGGGGAGCAAACAGGAUUAGAUACCCUGGUAGUCCACGCCGUAAACGAUGUCGAUUUGGAGGUUGUGCCCUUGAGGCGUGGCUUCCGGAGCUAACGCGUUAAAUCGACCGCCUGGGGAGUACGGCCGCAAGGUUAAAACUCAAAUGAAUUGACGGGGGCCCGCACAAGCGGUGGAGCAUGUGGUUUAAUUCGAUGCAACGCGAAGAACCUUACCUGGUCUUGACAUCCACAGAACUUUCCAGAGAUGGAUUGGUGCCUUCGGGAACUGUGAGACAGGUGCUGCAUGGCUGUCGUCAGCUCGUGUUGUGAAAUGUUGGGUUAAGUCCCGCAACGAGCGCAACCCUUAUCCUUUGUUGCCAGCGGUCCGGCCGGGAACUCAAAGGAGACUGCCAGUGAUAAACUGGAGGAAGGUGGGGAUGACGUCAAGUCAUCAUGGCCCUUACGACCAGGGCUACACACGUGCUACAAUGGCGCAUACAAAGAGAAGCGACCUCGCGAGAGCAAGCGGACCUCAUAAAGUGCGUCGUAGUCCGGAUUGGAGUCUGCAACUCGACUCCAUGAAGUCGGAAUCGCUAGUAAUCGUAGAUCAGAAUGCUACGGUGAAUACGUUCCCGGGCCUUGUACACACCGCCCGUCACACCAUGGGAGUGGGUUGCAAAAGAAGUAGGUAGCUUAACCUUCGGGAGGGCGCUUACCACUUUGUGAUUCAUGACUGGGGUGAAGUCGUAACAAGGUAACCGUAGGGGAACCUGCGGUUGGAUCACCUCCUUACCUUAAAGAA